This 440-nucleotide ribosomal RNA is filed under the name uncultured bacterium. RNAcentral describes it as "partial 16S ribosomal RNA". It matches the Rfam family "Bacterial small subunit ribosomal RNA", at positions 338 to 795 of the family's 1533-position model. The record is from RNAcentral.
CCUACGGGUGGCAGCAGUGGGGAAUAUUGCACAAUGGGGGAAACUCUGAUGCAGCAACGCCGCGUGAGUGAUGAAGUAUUUCGGUAUGUAAAGCUCUAUCAGCAGGGAAGAAGAUGACGGUACCUGUUUCAGAAGCCCCGGAUAACUACGUGCCAGCAGACGCGGUAAUACGUAGGGGGCAAGCGUUAUCCGGAUUUACUGGGUGUAAAGGGAGCGCAGACGGUAGUGCAAGUCAGUAGUGAAAGCCCGGGGCCCAACCCCGGAACUGCACUGGAAACUGUGCGGCUAGAGUACUGGAGGGGCAGGCGGAAUUCCUAGUGUAGCGGUGAAAUGCGUAGAUAUUAGGAGGAACACCAGUGGCGAAGGCAGCGUGCCGUGCCGCCACUGACGCUGAGGCACGAAAGCGCGGGGAUCGAACAGGAUUAGAUACCCCAGUAGUC